RNAcentral lists this long non-coding RNA (980 nucleotides) under Castor canadensis (American beaver). RNAcentral describes it as "lncRNA (ENSCCNG00000005696.1)". Lineage: Eukaryota; Metazoa; Chordata; Mammalia; Rodentia; Castoridae. The record is from RNAcentral.
UGACUCUCUUGUCCUUGAGAGCUGUUUUGGUGUGUUUCAUGGAAAUAAUGAACUGUGCCCUCCAUUAGUUGGUGAGAUCUGUGAGUUUCUUUCUUUCUUCUUCUGGAUCCUUACUUGACAAGCAGCUUGGUCUUCAUUCAGUGCAUCCAUGCCUGGACAGAUGAUGUAUAUACUCUUAAAAUUACUUCUCCAAGAAUUACUUCUGUUUUCUAGCUUGUUCUUAUGCUUGAUCAUGCCCCAACUUUUAAGUUUUCCUCUCUCCUUUCUAUUGCAUGUUCCCCUUCACUGGCCACUUACAAGAACUUACAUCACCUUGCAGUGACUCACACAUCCUGUCAAUACUGAAGAAUAUCUGUGUCCCAAAGACCAGAGCCCAUACUCUAGAGACAGCCUGCCAAGGUUCCCUGAAUGUGGUUUCUAUGGAAUGUAUGAUAAGAUCCUGCUUUUUCGCCACGACCCUACCUCUGAAAACAUCCUUCAGCUGGUGAAAACGGCUAGUGAUAUCCAGGAAGGAGAUCUUAUUGAAGUGGUCUUGUCAGCAGAAGAGACUGGAGGAGGAAAGAAAGAAAAGACAAAACUGAAGAUACCGUCAAAAUCAAUGAAAUAAGUCAUCAUGGCUGCCCGUGUUUGCAAUGGCAAGAUGAAGACUGGGUAGUGACUGUUGAUCUAAACACAUCAUGGGAAUGAAUUCCUUUUGCUUGAGGUGAAGGAACUUGCUUUACUUGGAAAGAUGCCAAAUGUCCAUGAUUGGUGUCACAUAACACUCCAGUUCAGUGUCUCAGCCGUGCCACCAUCUGCCCAGUGCUCUCAUUCUGCUGGUUGGCAUGUUGUUUACUUGCUUUUAAUAUGCAACCCAUAUAAAAAUUUCUCAUCAGCUGCUGAAAUUAGAAAUGCAGUUGUUUUAAGGCUUAAACAUCAAUAGCACUAUUUAUUAUGCCCACAUGGAGGAAUAAAAUAGAAAGAUGUAUUUGAAAAGAGCA